AGGACGAACGCUGGCGGCGUGCUUAACGCAUGCAAGUCGAGCGGUAAGGCUCCUUCGGGAGUACACGAGCGGCGAACGGGUGAGUAACACGUGAGCAAUCUGCCCUUCUCUUCGGAAUAACCAUUGGAAACGAUGGCUAAUGCCGAAUACGACCUCCUUUCGCAUGAUCGGAGGUGAAGCUCCGGCGGAGAAGGAUGAGCUCGCGGCCUAUCAGCUAGUUGGCGGGUAACGCCCACCAAGGCGACGACGGUAGCCGGCCUGAGGAGGGUCGACCGGCCACGACGUGGGACCUGGACGACCGACCGGCCCGAGACCUCCGUACGGGAGGCGAGCGAGGUGGGGAAUAGUUGGAACGAAGUGGGACGAAAGCC
Molecule: ribosomal RNA, 371 nt
Filed under: uncultured soil bacterium
Lineage: Bacteria
Description: bacterial SSU rRNA
Rfam family: Bacterial small subunit ribosomal RNA
Source: RNAcentral